This 440-nucleotide ribosomal RNA is filed under the name uncultured bacterium. RNAcentral describes it as "partial 16S ribosomal RNA". It matches the Rfam family "Bacterial small subunit ribosomal RNA", at positions 338 to 795 of the family's 1533-position model. The record is from RNAcentral.
CCUACGGGAGGCAGCAGUGGGGAAUAUUGCACAAUGGGGGAAACCCUGAUCCAGCGACGCCGCGUGAGUGAAGAAGUAUUUCGGUAUGUUAAGCCCUAUCAGCAGGGAAGAAAAUGACGGUACCUGACUCAGAAGCCCCGGCUAACUACGUGCCAGCAGCCGCGGUAACACGUAGGGGGCCAGCGUUAUCCGGAGUUACUGGGUGUAAAGGGAGCGUAGACGGCCAGACAAGUCAGAAGGGAAAGCCCAGGGCACAACCCUGGGACUGCUGUUGAAACUGCCGGGCUGGAGUGCAGGAGAGGUAAGCGGAAUGCGUAGUGUAGCGGUGAAAUGCGUAGAUAUUACGCAGAACACCAGUUGCGAAGGCGGCUUACUGGACUGUAACUGACGUUGAGGCUCGAAAGCGUGGGGAGCAAACAGGAUUAGAUACCCCAGUAGUC